UACGUAGGGGGCGAGCGUUGUCCGGAUUUAUUGGGCGUAAAGAGCGUGUAGGCGGCCAGGUAGGUCCGUUGUGAAAACUCGAGGCUCAACCUCGAGACGUCGAUGGAAACCAUCUGGCUAGAGUCCGGAAGGGGAGAGUGGAAUUCCUGGUGUAGCGGUGAAAUGCGCAGAUAUCAGGAAGAACACCUAUGGCGAAGGCAGCUCUCUGGGACGGUACUGACGCUGAGACGCGAAAGCGUGGGGAGCGAACAGG
RNAcentral lists this ribosomal RNA (253 nucleotides) under uncultured bacterium. RNAcentral describes it as "partial 16S ribosomal RNA". It matches the Rfam family "Bacterial small subunit ribosomal RNA", at positions 524 to 776 of the family's 1533-position model. The record is from RNAcentral.